Molecule: ribosomal RNA, 62 nt
Filed under: Lespedeza patens
Lineage: Eukaryota; Viridiplantae; Streptophyta; Magnoliopsida; Fabales; Fabaceae
Description: partial 26S ribosomal RNA
Rfam family: Eukaryotic large subunit ribosomal RNA
Source: RNAcentral
GAGACCUCAGGUCAGGCGGGCCUACCCGCUGAGUUUAAGCAUAUCAAUAAGCGGAGGAAAAG